This 76-nucleotide transfer RNA is filed under the name Pseudothauera rhizosphaerae. RNAcentral describes it as "Azoarcus sp. CC-YHH848 tRNA-Ala". It matches the Rfam family "tRNA". From Rfam's summary of the family: Transfer RNA (tRNA) molecules are approximately 80 nucleotides in length. Their secondary structure includes four short double-helical elements and three loops (D, anti-codon, and T loops). Further hydrogen bonds mediate the characteristic L-shaped molecular structure. tRNAs have two regions of fundamental functional importance: the anti-codon, which is responsible for specific mRNA codon recognition, and the 3' end, to which the tRNAs corresponding amino acid is attached (by aminoacyl-tRNA synthetases). tRNAs cope with the degeneracy of the genetic code in two manners: having more than one tRNA (with a specific anti-codon) for a particular amino acid; and 'wobble' base-pairing, i.e. permitting non-standard base-pairing at the 3rd anti-codon position. Lineage: Bacteria; Pseudomonadati; Pseudomonadota; Betaproteobacteria; Rhodocyclales; Zoogloeaceae. The record is from RNAcentral.
GGGGCCAUAGCUCAGAUGGGAGAGCGCCUGCCCUGCAAGCAGGAUGUCGCCGGUUCGAUCCCGGCUGGCUCCACCA